RNAcentral lists this ribosomal RNA (548 nucleotides) under uncultured bacterium. RNAcentral's name for it is "partial 16S ribosomal RNA". It matches the Rfam family "Bacterial small subunit ribosomal RNA", at positions 355 to 895 of the family's 1533-position model. The record is from RNAcentral.
UGGGGAAUUUUGGACAAUGGGCGCAAGCCUGAUCCAGCCAUGCCGCGUGCGGGAAGAAGGCCUUCGGGUUGUAAACCGCUUUUGUCAGGGAAGAAAUCUUCUGAGUUAAUACCUCGGGAGGAUGACGGUACCUGAAGAAUAAGCACCGGCUAACUACGUGCCAGCAGCCGCGGUAAUACGUAGGGUGCAAGCGUUAAUCGGAAUUACUGGGCGUAAAGCGUGCGCAGGCGGUUUUGUAAGACAGAGGUGAAAUCCCCGGGCUCAACCUGGGAACUGCCUUUGUGACUGCAAGGCUUGAGUGCGGCAGAGGGGGGAUGGAAUUCCGCGUGUAGCAGUGAAAUGCGUAGAUAUGCGGAGGAACACCGAUGGCGAAGGCAAUCCCCUGGGCCUGCACUGACGCUCAUGCACGAAAGCGUGGGUAGCAAACAGGAUUAGAUACCCUGGUAGUCCACGCCCUAAACGAUGUCAACUGGUUGUUGGGAAGGUUCCUUCUCAGUAACGUAGCUAACGCGUGAAGUUGACCGCCUGGGGAGUACGGCCGCAAGGUU